UCCGGUUUGACACCGGCAGUCUCGCUAGAGUACUGGCUUUCGCCGAGCAACUAACGAUAGGGGUUGCGCUCGUUAGAGGACUUAACCCGACACUUCACAGCACGAGCUGACGACAGCCAUGCAGCACCUGUGACCGUUCCACCCUUGCGGGUGUGACCCCACUUUCAUGGGGUUAAUCCGGCCAUGUCAAACCCAGGUAAGGUUCUUCGCGUUGCCUCGAAUUAAGCAACAUGCUCCACCGCUUGUGUGAGCCCCCGUCAAUUUCUUUGAGUUUCAGCCUUGCGGCCGUACUCCCCAGGCGGGGCACUUCAUGCGUUAGCGCCGGUACUCCAAGGGUCGCUCCCCGGAGCACCUAGUGCCCAUCGUUUACGGCGUGGACUAC
Molecule: unclassified non-coding RNA, 382 nt
Filed under: uncultured Phycisphaeraceae bacterium
Lineage: Bacteria; Pseudomonadati; Planctomycetota; Phycisphaerae; Phycisphaerales; Phycisphaeraceae
Description: contains 16S-23S intergenic spacer region
Source: RNAcentral